AUCUCCUACGGGAGGCAGCAGUGGGGAAUAUUGCACAAUGGGGGAAACCCUGAUGCAGCGACGCCGCGUGGGCGACGAAGCGCUCCGGCGCGUAAAGCCCUGUCAGCAGGGAAGAACAAAGACAGUACCUGACCAAGAAGCCCCGGCUAACUACGUGCCAGCAGCCGCGGUAAUACGUAAGAGGCAAGCGUUAUCCGGAUUCACUGGGCGUAAAGGGAGCGCAGGCGGCACGGCAAGUCUGGUGUGAAAACCCGGGGCCCAACCCCGGCGAGCCGUUGAAACUGGCUGUCUUGAGAUGUCGAGAG
Molecule: ribosomal RNA, 305 nt
Filed under: uncultured bacterium
Lineage: Bacteria
Description: bacterial SSU rRNA
Rfam family: Bacterial small subunit ribosomal RNA
Source: RNAcentral